CAAGUAGGACGGAUGAUCGCGGCUGCUUAAAGCAGGUGAGGAAAGUCCGGGCUUCAAAGGGCAGGAUGCCGGAUAACGUCCGGUGGAGGCGACUCCAAGGCCAGUGCAACAGAAAUAUACCGCCCUUGGCGCAUUUUGCGCCAAGUGGUAAGGGUGGAAAGGCAGUUUAAGAGACUACCGCCUGCACGGUAACGGGCAGGGCACAUGUAAACCCCAUCCGAAGCAAGACCAAAUGGAAAGCGUUUGAACCGGCCCGGCGAGCUUUCAGGUGGGUCGCUGGAUGCUGCUGGUAACAGCAGUACUAGAUAGAUGAUCAUUCACGACAUAACCCGGCUUAUAGUCCUGCUUGACUU
Molecule: RNase P RNA, 353 nt
Filed under: Lachnospiraceae bacterium
Lineage: Bacteria; Bacillati; Bacillota; Clostridia; Lachnospirales; Lachnospiraceae
Description: RNase P RNA component class A
Rfam family: Bacterial RNase P class A
About the family: Ribonuclease P (RNase P) is a ubiquitous endoribonuclease, found in archaea, bacteria and eukarya as well as chloroplasts and mitochondria. Its best characterised activity is the generation of mature 5'-ends of tRNAs by cleaving the 5'-leader elements of precursor-tRNAs. Cellular RNase Ps are ribonucleoproteins.
Source: RNAcentral